UGCUCACAGGCAAUUUGUAAGUCGCUCUGGAUAAGAGCGUCUGCUAAAUGACGUAAA
Salmo salar (Atlantic salmon) is the source of this 57-nucleotide non-coding RNA. The record is from Rfam. Lineage: Eukaryota; Metazoa; Chordata; Actinopteri; Salmoniformes; Salmonidae.